Molecule: ribosomal RNA, 622 nt
Filed under: uncultured bacterium
Lineage: Bacteria
Description: bacterial SSU rRNA
Rfam family: Bacterial small subunit ribosomal RNA
Source: RNAcentral
GCAGUCGAGCGCUUCCCUUCGGGGAGGAGCGGCGGACGGGUUAGUAACGCGUGGGAACAUACCCUUUUCUAUGGAAUAGCCUUUGGAAACGAAGAGUAAUACCAUAUACGCCCUUCGGGGGAAAGAUUUAUCGGAGAAGGAUUGGCCCGCGUAAGAUUAGAUAGUUGGUGGGGUAAUGGCCUACCAAGUCUACGAUCUUUAGCUGGUUUUAGAGGAUGAUCAGCAACACUGGGACUGAGACACGGCCCAGACUCCUACGGGAGGCAGCAGUGGGGAAUCUUAGACAAUGGGCGCAAGCCUGAUCUAGCCAUGCCGCGUGUGUGAUGAAGGCCUUAGGGUCGUAAAGCACUUUCGCCAGAGAUGAUAAUGACAGUAUCUGGUAAAGAAACCCCGGCUAACUCCGUGCCAGCAGCCGCGGUAAUACGGAGGGGGUUAGCGUUGUUCGGAAUUACUGGGCGUAAAGCGCACGCAGGCGGUUUGUUAAGCUAGAUGUGAAAGCCCCGGGCUCAACCUGGGAAUAGCAUUUAGAACUGGCAGACUAGAGUCUUGGAGAGGUGAGUGGAAUUCCAAGUGUAGAGGUGAAAUUCGUAGAUAUUUGGAGGAACACCAGUGGCGAAGGCGG